RNAcentral lists this ribosomal RNA (379 nucleotides) under uncultured cyanobacterium. RNAcentral describes it as "bacterial SSU rRNA". It matches the Rfam family "Bacterial small subunit ribosomal RNA", at positions 376 to 770 of the family's 1533-position model. The record is from RNAcentral. Lineage: Bacteria; Bacillati; Cyanobacteriota.
CGAAAGCCUGACGGAGCAACGCCGCGUGGGGGAAGAAGGUUCUUGGAUUGUAAACCCCUUUUCUCAGGGAAGAAGAUCUGACGGUACCUGAGGAAUCAGCCUCGGCUAACUCCGUGCCAGCAGCCGCGGUAAUACGGAGGAGGCAAGCGUUAUUCGGAAUUAUUGGGCGUAAAGCGUCCGCAGGGGGCGCAUCAAGUCUGCUGUUAAAGGCUGGAGCUCAACUCCGGUAGAGCAGUGGAAACUGGUGCGCUAGAGGGCGACAGGGGUAGAGGGAAUUCCCAGUGUAGCGGUGAAAUGCGUAGAGAUUGGGAAGAACACCGGUGGCGAAAGCGCUCUACUGGGUCGCACCUGACCCUCAGGGACGAAAGCUAAGGUAGCG